This is a non-coding RNA of Lophium mytilinum, 104 nucleotides long. Lineage: Eukaryota; Fungi; Ascomycota; Dothideomycetes; Mytilinidiales; Mytilinidiaceae. The record is from the annotation of a GenBank genome assembly.
UCCGGUGUAGUUUAGUUGGUUAUAACACACCAGCUCCAGGGCCGCGCCAUGUGGCGCAGCCCGCUAUAGUUGGUGUAACCCGCGUUCGAUCCGCGGCGCCGGAC